CUGUGAAUAUUCUCACUGUUCUAAUUUUGUAAUAAUCAAGACAGGSUAAACAUUUACUACAUUAAGACCAUAUGUCCCAAGACCUAAUUCUUUCCUCAGGUCUGGUCUUAUAAAUGCUGGUGAUAUUC
This is a small nucleolar RNA of Urocitellus parryii (Arctic ground squirrel), 128 nucleotides long. Its record names the gene SNORA72. It matches the Rfam family "Small nucleolar RNA SNORA72". Rfam says of the family: U72 is a member of the H/ACA class of snoRNAs. The snoRNA gene is located in intron 4 of the ribosomal L30 protein gene in human, mouse and chicken. The record is from Ensembl. NCBI's taxonomy places the organism in Eukaryota, Metazoa, Chordata, Mammalia, Rodentia, Sciuridae.